This 1345-nucleotide long non-coding RNA is filed under the name Lathyrus oleraceus (garden pea). Its description in RNAcentral is "Pisum sativum (pea) long non-coding RNA (PSAT_LNC037383)". Lineage: Eukaryota; Viridiplantae; Streptophyta; Magnoliopsida; Fabales; Fabaceae. The record is from RNAcentral.
UCACUCUCGUUCUCUCUCUUCAAAAGCAAAGCCAAAUUUGCUCUGUAACUCUUCCUUCUUGCUCCGCCACACGCCAUGGCCACCACUUGCCGGAGAAGACGGUGGAGAUCGACCGACCGCGGCGACGCCGCCUUCUUCUCCGGCGACCUCCAACCCUAACCCUAAACAUCCAAACACAUACCCCACCUCAUUUUUGCUUCUAAAUCCAAAUCCAACCUUGUUUCUCCCAAAAUCUUCAUCAAAUGGCCGGAUCGGCACCAAAAGAAAAAAUAAAAACCUAAACCCUAACUCAAACUCUCUCUCUCUCUCUCUCUCUCUCUCUCUCUCUCUCUCUCUCUCUCUCUCUCGCGCGCGCGCGCGGCCAAACGAAUCCCUAGUUCGUUCCAAACCCAAAUAAAUCUAAACACGAUCCUACCAACAGUUGAAAACCCUAAACCUAAACCUGAAAUCAAACCUUUUAUAGUCAUGCUUGGAAGAAAUUAAUAUGGGGGUUUCAAUCAGCAUGGAGAGACGACGACGAUAGUCCAAAGAUUUGAACGAGAAUGGAAAAAAUUAUUUGGUUGAGGUUGAUCGCAGGCGACGCUUCCCUGUUGUAUUCGAGAUAAGUCAUUUCGUCCUCUUCUUCGUCUUCCUCUUUCUUUGGUCUGGAUGCUAUUGUUCUGUUUUCGUUCUUUUGAUUUCCAAAAAAAUGUUUGUUUUCUUGUUUAGGUUUUGAUGUUAGAAAAAUAUUUUUGAUAACUUCUCUUUGGAUUCUCCCAAAACGUUUGUGUUACUGUUAAUUUGUUGUUGUUAUAUAUAUGAUGAAUGCUUAGGUUCUUGAGAUAACUUGUUAAGUUAUCUUUUUUCCAGAUUUUAUGGGAUGAUUGUUUUGUGGAUUUAGAGUUGUCUGGAUUGGAUAAUGGAAUGUGUUCUUGGGCGUUUACUUUGGUUCACUAUGCAAAAUAUCAAUAUGUUCAUUUUAUCAAUUGUUUUUCAGUUUUUCAUGAGUGCUUAUUUGAUAAGCCCUUUUAAUCCUUGAGUUGGUUUUGCAGGUUUGUAAAAGGUGAAUAGAUGUUGAUUGAAAGGGGGCAUGCGCCUGUUUUGGGAAAAUGGAUUUGGGGCGCUGCAAUUUCAACAAAAGUUCUGGAAAAGCCUUUGCAAGUUUGCUGCUUCAAACUGCUGUAUUUACAGCUUAUUCUACUUUUUUUCAAAUUUCUUUUAAAAGUUAUUUCUGAUGUAACAGAACUUUUGGAUAAAGUGUUGUGUAACUUUUGGACUAUGUAAAAUCUUGUAAGCCUUUGAAUUAUUUGUAACAUCUUUAGACUUUUUAAAAUUUAAUUGAUCAAUUAAUCUCUUUUUUUUAAAA